UCUUCUCUUUCUUUUCUCCUCCUCCUUCUCUUCUUCUACCAACUUUCUUGUUCUAGAGGGGGCAAUUUUUGGAAAUGGCAGAGGAGGGUUCUGUGAUGCUUUUUAUUACGCAUUUGGAAAUGGCUGUGAUGGAACCACGACCUCUUGUUCUUUUCCUCUGUCUCGGGAGGUGUGUUCCUUUGGUACUGAUAAUUAUGGGGAAGUGAAUAACAGCUACAUAAAUACCAUGCAUGUAAAUUAUUUUUGCUCAGAAACAAAU
RNAcentral lists this non-coding RNA (259 nucleotides) under Paramoeba aestuarina. Lineage: Eukaryota; Discosea; Flabellinia; Dactylopodida; Paramoebidae. The record is from RNAcentral.